CCUACGGGUGGCAGCAGUGAGGAAUAUUGGUCAAUGGACGAGAGUCUGAACCAGCCAAGUAGCGUGAAGGAUGACUGCCCUAUGGGUUGUAAACUUCUUUUAUAUGGGAAUAAAACGUUCCACGUGUGGGAUUUUGUAUGUACCAUAUGAAUAAGGAUCGGCUAACUCCGUGCCAGCAGCCGCGGUAAUACGGAGGAUCCGAGCGUUAUCCGGAUUUAUUGGGUUUAAAGGGAGCGUAGGUGGAUUGUUAAGUCAGUUGUGAAAGUUUGCGGCGCAACCGGAAAAUUGCAGUUGAAACUGGCAGUCUUGAGUACAGUAGAGGUGGGCGGAAUUCGUGGUGUAGCGGUGAAAUGCUUAGAUAUCACGAAGAACUCCGAUUGCGAAGGCAGUUCACUGGACUGCAACUGACACUGAGGCUCGAAAGUGUGGGUAUCAAACAGGAUUAGAUACCCCUGUAGUC
Molecule: ribosomal RNA, 460 nt
Filed under: uncultured bacterium
Lineage: Bacteria
Description: partial 16S ribosomal RNA
Rfam family: Bacterial small subunit ribosomal RNA
Source: RNAcentral